CAAGAAAGUACACUCCUGAUAUAUUACGGAUGCAUUUUUUUCCUUUGAAAAUCUAUUUUUCUUAGAUUCUUCAAGGCCUGGUUGAAGUAAUAUACAAAAAGAAAUUUACCAGCUAUAAAAUAAUCUUAAUAGCAUGGUAUAUUCAAAAAGUAAAAUCACAAAAAUACUGAACUCCGACGAACAUUUAAAACGAAAAGUCCCUUAUCAAAUGGCUAAAUCGAAAGCUCAAACACAUCAAACGAAUGGAUAACAACUGUCAUAAUCAGACUUGGUAGAUUAAAUCUGGUUUUAUAGCUAGAUAAACCUCUCACUUGUAUGACAGUCUCAUCAAAUUUCAUUAUAUUGACAACGUUGUGUGAACAAAACAAUUAGACAUAGUAGGUAAAAAUGUCACAAACAGGGUUACAGCAGUCAACAGUGUGUUAUAAUCUUAAUCACUAUAAAACAAACAACAAAUAUGUAACAACAAGGCAUAUAGACAAAGCACAUUAGCAAAAAUAAAAAAAACCAAGAAUACUAAAAUCAUCAAUAGAACAAUAAAACAAUGAGGGAUGUAAAAGUACAGAGCCAUGUCAUAUGUUUUAAAGAACUCAAAAAAGCAUAAAGACAAAGCACAUUAGCAAAAAUGAAAGACAAGAAUAUUUUUUCUAUCAUAGACCAAUAAAUAAAGGCAACAGUAGUAUACCGCUGUUCGAAAUUCAUUAAUCAUUGAGAAAAAACAAAUCGGGGUUACAAACUAAAACUGAGGUAAACACAUCAAAUAUAAGAGGAGAACUACAGCACAACACUAAAAAGUAACACACACAGAAACAAACUAUAAUAUUGCAAUGGCCAUUUUCCUUACUUGUUACAGAACAUUUCAAGGAAAAAAUGGUGGGUUGAACCUGGUUUUGUGGCUGGCCAAACCUCCCAUUUUUAUGGCAAUGUUAAAUAUAAUUAAAUGAUAACAUUGCAUGACAGGUCUACAAUACAAAUAAAUGAGAGAACAUAUAGGACAAACAAACACACACAUAAUAGCUAUCAAAAGGUACCAGGUUUAUAAUUUAAUACGCCAGACGAGCGUUUCGCCUUCACACAAAACUAAUCAGUGACGCUCUGAUCAAAAAAGUUCGAAAGCCAAAACAAGAGCAUUGAGG
Molecule: long non-coding RNA, 1136 nt
Filed under: Mytilus galloprovincialis (Mediterranean mussel)
Lineage: Eukaryota; Metazoa; Mollusca; Bivalvia; Mytilida; Mytilidae
Source: RNAcentral